RNAcentral lists this ribosomal RNA (400 nucleotides) under uncultured bacterium. RNAcentral describes it as "bacterial SSU rRNA". It matches the Rfam family "Bacterial small subunit ribosomal RNA", at positions 355 to 760 of the family's 1533-position model. The record is from RNAcentral.
UCGAGAAUCUUUCACAAUGGGGGCAACCCUGAUGGAGCGACGCCGCGUGGAGGAUAAGGUCUUCGGAUUGUAAACUCCUGUCAUGCGCGAACAAAUGUGCUUUGCACACUGAUAGUAGCGCAAGAGGAAGAGACGGCUAACUCUGUGCCAGCAGCCGCGGUAAUACAGAGGUCUCAAGCGUUGUUCGGAAUCACUGGGCGUAAAGGGUGCGUAGGUGGCUAGGUAAGUCAGAUGUGAAAGCCCGACGCUCAACGUCGUGAUUGCAUUUGAUACUGCUUGGCUAGAGUUUUGAAGGGGAGUCUAGAAUUCACGGUGUAGCAGUGAAAUGCGUGGAUAUCGUGAGGAAUACCAAAGGCGAAGGCAGGACUCUGGGCAAAUACUGACACUGAUGCACGAAGGC